Molecule: ribosomal RNA, 494 nt
Filed under: uncultured bacterium
Lineage: Bacteria
Description: partial 16S ribosomal RNA
Rfam family: Bacterial small subunit ribosomal RNA
Source: RNAcentral
GACGAACGCUGGCGGCGUGCUUAACACAUGCAAGUCGAACGGAAAGGCCUGCUUUCCCUUGUGGAUUGCGGGUACUCGAGUGGCGAACGGGUGAGUAACACGUGAGUGAUCUGCCCCCAACUUGGGUAUAAGCCUGGGAAACUGGGUCUAAUUCCCGAUAGGACUGCAGGGUGGUGCCUGUGGUGGAAAACGAUUUUCUAGUGGUUGGGGAUGAGCUCGCGGCCUAUCAGCUUGUUGGUGGGGUAAUGGCCUACCAAGGCGGCGACGGGUAGCCGGCCUGAGGGGGUGGACGGCCACAUUGGGACUGAGAUACGGCCCAGACUCCGACGGGAGGCAGCAGUGGGGAAUAUUGCACAAUGGGCGGAAGCCUGAUGCAGCGACGCCGCGUGGGGGAUGACGGCCUUCGGGUUGUAAACUCCUUUCGACCGCGAGGAAGCCACAUGGUUGGAAGGGUGGUGACGGUAGUGGUAGAAGAAGCACCGGCUAACUACGUG